GGGAAUAUUGCGCAAUGGAGGAAACUCUGACGCAGUGACGCCGCGUAUAGGAAGAAGGUUUUCGGAUUGUAAACUAUUGUCGUGAGGGAAGAAAUUGACAGUACCUCAGGAGGAAGCUCCGGCUAACUAUGUGCCAGCAGCCGCGGUAAUACGUAGGGGGCAAGCGUUAUCCGGAUUUACUGGGUGUAAAGGGAGCGUAGACGGCUGUGCAAGCCAGAUGUGAAAGCCCGGGGCUCAACCCCGGGACUGCAUUUGGAACUGUGUGGCUGGAGUGUCGGAGAGGCAGGCGGAAUUCCUAGUGUAGCGGUGAAAUGCGUAGAUAUUAGGAGGAACACCAGUGGCGAAGGCGGCUUGCUGGACGAUGACUGACGUUGAGGCUCGAAAGCGUGGGGAGCAAACAGG
Molecule: ribosomal RNA, 402 nt
Filed under: uncultured bacterium
Lineage: Bacteria
Description: bacterial SSU rRNA
Rfam family: Bacterial small subunit ribosomal RNA
Source: RNAcentral